UGUGGACGAGGAUUACAGAGUUCGUCACGCAACGUCAAAGUUUUCGUUUCCUCUGGUGCGACCCCCUCUCUCCCUCUUUAAAUGGUGAAGAGUAUAUACUUCUCAGCAGGAGUACCGGCCAUCUCUCCUGGAUCAAAAACUCAGUUCUGGAAUAUCUACCAGCUCACUCUCCAUUUCCCCCAACCUGACAUGUUUUCUGUAAUAAAACUCUCAUGAUUGCCACUUUCUGGGAUUUCCCUACCUCGUUGACUGAGCAUCUGCAGUCUGUAGAUAAGUCAGCUGGCUCUACAGUCCUCUCCC
This is a long non-coding RNA of Oreochromis aureus, 300 nucleotides long. RefSeq lists it as uncharacterized. The transcript has 3 exons. The record is from RefSeq and is a predicted model, not a curated record. NCBI's taxonomy places the organism in Eukaryota, Metazoa, Chordata, Actinopteri, Cichliformes, Cichlidae.